CCUACGGGAGGCAGCAGUCGGGAAUAUUGCACAAUGGGGGAAACUCUGACGCAGUGACGCCGCGUAUGCGAAGAAGUUUUUCGGAUUGUAAACUAUUAUCAGUAGGAACGAUAAAAGACUGUACCUGAGUAAGAAGCCCCGGCUAACUAUGUGCCAGCAGCCGCGGUAAUACAUAGGGGGCAAGCGUUAUCCGGAAUUAUUGGGUGUAAAGGGUGCGUAGACGGAAGAACAAGUCUGUUGUGAAAUGCCUCGGCUCAACUGAGGAACUGCAAUGAAAACUAUUCUGCUUGAGUGUAGGAGAGGAAAGUGGAAUUCCUAGUGUAGCGGUGAAAUGCGUAGAUAUUAGGAGGAACACCAGUGGCGAAGGCGACUUUCUGGACGAUAACUGACGUUGAGGCACGAAAGCGUGGGGAGCAAACAGGAUUAGAUACCCGAGUAGUC
RNAcentral lists this ribosomal RNA (441 nucleotides) under uncultured bacterium. RNAcentral's name for it is "partial 16S ribosomal RNA". It matches the Rfam family "Bacterial small subunit ribosomal RNA", at positions 338 to 795 of the family's 1533-position model. The record is from RNAcentral.